This 425-nucleotide ribosomal RNA is filed under the name uncultured bacterium. RNAcentral's name for it is "partial 16S ribosomal RNA". It matches the Rfam family "Bacterial small subunit ribosomal RNA", at positions 354 to 796 of the family's 1533-position model. The record is from RNAcentral.
GUGGGGAAUCUUAGACAAUGGGCGCAAGCCUGAUCUAGCCAUGCCGCGUGAGCGAUGAAGGCCUUAGGGUUGUAAAGCUCUUUCAGGGGGGAAGAUAAUGACGGUACCCCCAGAAGAAGCCCCGGCUAACUCCGUGCCAGCAGCCGCGGUAAUACGGAGGGGGCUAGCGUUGUUCGGAAUUACUGGGCGUUAAGCGCACGUAGGCGGACCAGAAAGUCAGGGGUGAAAUCCCGGGGCUCAACCCCGGAACUGCCUUUGAAACUCCUGGUCUUGAGGUCGAGAGAGGUGAGUGGAAUUCCGAGUGUAGAGGUGAAAUUCGUAGAUAUUCGGAGGAACACCAGUGGCGAAGGCGGCUCACUGGCUCGAUACUGACGCUGAGGUGCGAAAGCGUGGGGAGCAAACAGGAUUAGAAACCCGUGUAGUCC